Molecule: small RNA, 526 nt
Filed under: Histoplasma ohiense
Lineage: Eukaryota; Fungi; Ascomycota; Eurotiomycetes; Onygenales; Ajellomycetaceae
Description: hypothetical lncRNA
Source: RNAcentral
UGCGGCUUCUCUCCACCAUUGACCAUCAACGCUCGAUUUGAUAUCUCCCCAACCCAGACCAUUGCCCGCCAUCUGUGCCCUGUCUCCUGUUUGCUAAGGACUACGUUUACUCUCUCACUGCUGACACCGGGCCCUUGACACGUUACACGCUGGCAGGCCAUAUCGAUGCUACCAAGUCGCGUCCCUGUGUGAUUCCUGCAAACACAGAGACUCCCGCGCAAAUACGCAACCGACCAUACUGGUUACUAGAUCAGAGGGAAGCAAUUCUGACGUCGCAUAGAAUACAAGAUGAAUGCGUCCGCUCAGGGUGAUGAGCGCGACUCGAGCUCACUUACGGAUCCCGGCGAAAAUGCCAGGUCGCCGCGCGCAGAUACGAGUAGCAGAAGAAAGUCUGGGCGAGCGAAGCGGAAACCUGAGCUCUUUUCGUCUACUGCCUAUACCUCGAGUCGCCCAUCGCAGGGUGGCAGAACGACCAAGCGGAAGCGCGCCGCACAGCAGGAAGACGGGGAUGAGGACGAGAACGACG